ACAUAUCCAGAUGGUCUGACGUCACCACCACGCUAAAUCUUUCCCAGUGUUAUAAACAUGGCGAAGCAGUUAACAAAACCUGCACCAAACUUUGGGUCCUUUCUGAACCUCUUCCCGGAGGCAGGCUGCCUCUGGAAAAAAGAGCAAUGAACCCUUCUUCCAGAACACCAGGCAAGAAUACAAAGGCCUGGAGACCUUUUAUUCAGUGUACACCUAAAUAAGUUGUAUGGCUUCCUGUACAUCCUUCAGAAGCAGACAAAUCUCUACAAGAGUCUCUCUGUCCCCGGUGAAGAUUUCAGUUAGUGAAUUUGUUUUAUUACUCGUUAUGUUGUAUGAGACAGUCAGAUUUAUUUAUACAUUUAAUUUAUCCUUUUUCAUCCGGAUGCUGACUAUGUAGUCGGCCUCAUCACUCCUGAAAUGAGCAGGAGAGGAACCUUCAGGACUGCCAUAGUCAGAAACUUUAAGGACUUUGUUCAAGAUGUGGAAAGGAGGAAUGGAGGAAAAGGCAGUGCACAGUGAACUUGGAGGAGAGGAAGAAGAUGGACAAGUGGAGCUAUCCAGUCGAACAGUUUUCACUGUCCCUAAAGUUAUGCUAUGGGUCAGGGACAAGUAUUUAUACAAAUAAUUUUUAAAUGUAGGCCUUAGACACUCACUGUAAAUAAGACAAAUAAAACACAAUAUUUUACCCUUUUGACCUCCAUACAGCAAAGUGGCACAUCCCAAAUUAUGCUGAGCUGCAGGUCACCAGUCUAUGGUCCAUGAAGUGUCAGUCAUGGUGCAGCAUGGUGCAUUGUCCAGAAAAUGUUCGAAUUUUCAAACUACUUUUCAUCGGGACGGCAGAUAAAGCAAUCGCUUACAUGUGAUCACAGAAUCCUACUCAUUACUCCACCUGCUUAAUUGCAUCACUUGUUUUUGUUACAUAUUGUAUCACAUGACAUUCUGUUGAUUUGUAUCUAUUUGAAUGUUUAUUUUCUGUCAAAAGGAUUACCUUUUCCCAUAGUUAAAGAAUUGACUUAAUGACUGCAGCUCUUUGUAUUCAAACACUUCCAUUUUAGUCAUUUAAAUAAAUGUUGUCCAUAGUGUGGUGGUAGAAUGUGGUGAGCUGGUCUGUAGCCUAUUCUGUGUUGGACUGUGAUUUGCCUCUCAGACUCCUGGUAUGUCUGCACCCUAACACAAUGCAAUUGUGUUCUGGAACUGUUGCUUGUAAAAAUAACUUGUGUAGCAAUGGGAUUGUAUUCUCUCAUUAUAUAAGGGACAUGUAACCAUUUACUCUGAGUUCUUCCCAGUGAAAUCAGAGACAUCCCCUGCAGCUCCUUGAUUAAAGAUGUUUCUAUUAUACAA
This is a long non-coding RNA of Oncorhynchus nerka (sockeye salmon), 1341 nucleotides long. RefSeq lists it as uncharacterized. The record is from RefSeq and is a predicted model, not a curated record. NCBI's taxonomy places the organism in Eukaryota, Metazoa, Chordata, Actinopteri, Salmoniformes, Salmonidae. The transcript has 3 exons.